Molecule: long non-coding RNA, 3305 nt
Organism: Astyanax mexicanus (Mexican tetra)
Lineage: Eukaryota; Metazoa; Chordata; Actinopteri; Characiformes; Acestrorhamphidae
Exons: 11
Source: RefSeq, a predicted model, not a curated record
UUAUAUAUAUAUAUUUACAACACUUGUAAAAAAAACGGUAGACUUUUCUUAUUAUGUUAUUUGUAAUGUGAUUUAUAUAUAAAUCACAUUACAAAAAACAUAAUACAAAAAAUAAGUAUGAACUUCUGCAACAUAGAUAUUACAUUAAGAGCAAAAUUAACAUAAAAAAUUUACAUUCAGAAGAAAGUAUCAACUUCAAUGUGCAAUCAAAUUGAAAAUAAAUAGCCUAACUGUAGUGCAAAACAAAAGGUCAAAAAACUAAAAUAAAUACAUAUAAAUAAAACAAAGACACAUCCAUACGCUCACUGUUGUGGGUGCAGAACAAAUUAAAUCCAAACAGGAUCAUCAUGAUAAAGGUGGCAUUAUGCCCUUUACUUCAGAAACUUUGUCUAUUGGUUAUGAAUAUGCUUGUUAUACAACUAUUAUUACUAAUAGUAAUAAUAUUAUAAAAAAAAAUAACCACGAUAACAAUAUACGUUAUUAUUACUAUUACCAGGCCUCAACCUUGUUUUUCUUUCUCGAGAGCGCCAGCCCUGAUAACAGUUCAGUGAGUGAAGGAAUCACUGAGCAUUGAGCAAGUUUCCUCGCAAUGAGAGUCUCCGCCACCAGAUUCGCCGGUGAUUCAGUGAUUCACAGACCACACAGCAGUUCCCCUGCCGGCCUGUGGGGUCGCUGCUGAGCUCAACUACUGAACUGAGAAAUGAACGAAUCAGCUGGGGAAGUGAUUGGAUUCAGUUCGUUCACUCAAAUGAUUCGUUCAUUCGAACGAAUCGUUAAUGAACGACACAACACUAUUUUUUCGGCGUGGUUGCGGCCUACAGCAACCUGGGUUCUAAGUUAAGUCAAUAAAGCGACUUAAACUGCCUACUCGGUCCUUCUUUCAGAGUCCAGGCGGACGCUACAAUAUAUUUAAAACACCUUCAGUCCAGUAACAGCUGUGUUUAUUUGUUUUUUUAAAGUCACUGGUUAGCUCUGGUUGAUCUCAGUUCAUAAUAUUGCAGCAAAUAUCCAGCACAACAAACCCAGCUUUAAACAAAAACCAUCGCUGUAUAAACAUAGACAGAGGAGAAGUUUUCUUUCAGAAACAGCCAGGGUUACCUGCGUGUUUACUAAUCCGUUACUCGUUCGUGCUGGAGUUAAGAUCAUUUGCACGUUAGGUGGAUUUACGGGGCUAACGUGUAUUCAUUUUAUUAAUCUUUAGUGAUAGCAGGUAAAAUCUUGGCAAUGAAAGCUAUAUGAGUCUCGUGGCUCGAGUUUAUGGGGCGUUUGGGGACAGUAGAACCAAAACAGCUUAGCUAUGUAAGUUAGUUUGCUAAUUUACGGAGCUACUUCAUGACGCAGAUUAGUCCAUUCAUCAUUAAAUUAUCAUACAAUGCAAAGAACAAAUGCUGUGUUCAGAUGAUGUGGUAAACUAUUCAUCUACAUGUUGUUCUUUCUUAGCUAUUCAUGUGAUUUUCUCUAUCAUUAACAGGGUGGUCAGCUUCCUGAGGGCUUUGAGGAUAGUUAUCCUGGUGCGUGUCUUUCGUCUGGCCUCUCAGAAGAAAGAUCUGGAGAAGGUCACUAGAAGAAAGGUAUCUGAGAACAAAAGGCGGUAACAAAAAGGAUGGAUUUGAUUUGGAUCUCACCUAUGUCACAGCAGGCACUCUACAGAAAUCCCAUAAAAGAAGCUGCCAUAUUUCUGGACACAAAGCAUCCCGAUCAUUACAGAGUUUACAAUCUCUGCAGUCAAAAAGGCUACGAUCCACUGUUCUUCCAUUACAGAGUGCAACGAGUGAUGAUUGACGACCAUAACGUACCGUCAUUAGAGACUCCCCCUAUCACUAGUAAUGCCCCAACACACCAGGAGGAUGAAGACUAGCACACUCUUUCUCCGAUACAUGUGAAGUCAGCCACCGCUUCUUUUCGAGCUGCUGCUGAUGCAGCAUUGCCAAGCAGCCAGCACAUUUGGAGGAAAGCGCAGCGGCAGGUGAACCCGACCUGACCUGAGGAAAGUGGUGGGAAAUCUCGAGCCAGGUCAGACCUUGGGUUGGGUUUGGGCAGAGAACCUAAGCUCUUAUUCACAUAUUGAACUUUGUGUUAUUGUGUUCUCAGGGACAUGUUGAACUACACUGCCAGUUUGAGGGAAUGUCAUUGCCAUCCACUGCAAAGGAGGCAAAGGUGUGGGAAAGGGCAAUGGCAGUGAUCUGAAGGUGCGGAUCAUAGUGAAAAGAGAGCAGGUGUUCCAGUGUGUCUGUGCCACGCAGACGAACUGUAGGGUGUUCCCAGAUACUGAAAACAAUGCCGUGGUGAUCAGCUUACAGGAAGGGCCAGUGGUUUGUGGUGAUGUUAAGGUCAUGUUUGAAUCCAGGGCUGGUCGUCCAAAGGGGUAUGAGGACUAUCCUUUCUAUUUCUGGUUCAACACUUCAUUUGUAGAGAACAACAGGCUCUAUCUGUUAAGGGAGGAACUGGACAACCCACGUAAGUCCAAAACCUGGGACAUCUACAAGGUGUGACCGUGUCUUUCAGUGACCAGUGGUUAUGUGUGCAGAAACAUGUUUUUGUAGUACACAUGUAUUGAAAUAAAUACUAAUGUCUUGUCUGUCUCUUUUUUGAAUUAACAACUGAUAUCUGGGUUGCUGAAUUUCUGCAAUUGUUUUUAAGGAUAGAUCUGAGUGACUUGUUUUUUUAGAAGUAAAAAGUCUGGUCUUACAGGUGGGCAUGCAACUCUAAACUCUUUAGAAUCAGCAGUUUUAGAGGUGACCUUUUUCAGAAGCGCUGUCAGUGCCAUUCUCAUAUAAAAGGCUUAAAAUCAAAUCUCAAAUGUGCAGCUUUUAUAAUAGUAAAUAAAAUAAUGUACUAUGUAAUUGUGUAGAACACAAACUGUAUAAACACAAACUUUAAUUCUAGAAUUGAUAUACACUAUCUGCUGCUGUCAGUACAAAUGGAUGGCUGGGUCAAAAAUCAGAGGGAAAAUAUUAAACUGGGGAUUCACAAAAAUGCUUUUUCUUAAGUUCUUAAGUUUAUACUUAACUUAAGAGGUCUGUUUUGGUUAUUUUUCUUAAUGUUUAAUUUGUACCAAAAAAAAUGAAUAAUAAUAUAUAUACCUUUAUGAUACACUCACAUUUCAGUGCUUGGUUUGACUCUGUUUUUUUAUUUUCCUAAUGUUUUCUUAAGCCUUCACAUCAGUGUCUCAGCACUGGCAUUCAGAGCCCCUUAUUCACCAUCCUACUCUAUUGGACAUUUCAGGGACAACAGCCUUUUUUGCCCAAUUAUAAACACUCUUCUUGUAAAAGUUAUCCAGACAUAGGUAAAAAAAAAAAAAAACA